CCUACGGGAGGCAGCAGUGAGGAAUAUUGGUCAAUGGACGAGAGUCUGAACCAGCCAAGUAGCGUGAAGGAUGACUGCCCUAUGGGUUGUAAACUUCUUUUAUAAAGGAAUAAAACGAGGCACGUGUGCCUUUUUGCAUGUACUUUAUGAAUAAGGAUCGGCUAACUCCGGUCCAGCAGCCGCGGUAAUACGGAGGAUCCGAGCGUUAUCCGGAUUUAUUGGGUUUAAAGGGAGCGUAGAUGGGUUGUUAAGUCAGUUGUGAAAGUUUGCGGCUCAACCGUAAAAUUGCAAUUGAUACUGGCAGUCUUGAGUACAGUUGAGGUAGGCGGAAUUCGUGAUGUAGCAGUGAAAUGCUUAGAUAUCACGAAGAACCCCGAUUGCGAAGGCAGCUUACUAAACUGUGACUGACAUUGAUGCUCGAAAGUGUGGGUAUCAAACAGGAUUAGAUACCCUUGUAGUC
This 460-nucleotide ribosomal RNA is filed under the name uncultured bacterium. RNAcentral's name for it is "partial 16S ribosomal RNA". It matches the Rfam family "Bacterial small subunit ribosomal RNA", at positions 338 to 795 of the family's 1533-position model. The record is from RNAcentral.